AGUGAACGCUGGCGGUAGGCCUAACACAUGCAAGUCGAACGGCAGCACAGUAAGAGCUUGCUCUUACGGGUGGCGAGUGGCGGACGGGUGAGGAAUACAUCGGAAUCUACUUUUUCGUGGGGGAUAACGUACGGAAACUUACGCUAAUACCGCAUACGACCUACGGGUGAAAGCAGGGGAUCUUCGGACCUUGCGCGAUUGAAUGAGCCGAUGUCGGAUUAGCUAGUUGGCGGGGUAAAGGCCCACCAAGGCGGCGAUCCGUAGCUGGUCUGAGAGGAUGAUCAGCCACACUGGAACUGAGACACGGUCCAGACUCCUACGGGAGGCAGCAGUGGGGAAUAUUGGACAAUGGGCGCAAGCCUGAUCCAUCCAUACCGCGUGGGUGAAGAAGGCCUUCGGGUUGUAAAGCCCUUUUGUUGGGAAAGAAAAGCAGCAGGUUAAUACCCCGCUGUUCUGACGGUACCCAAAGAAUAAGCACCGGCUAACUUCGUG
This 492-nucleotide ribosomal RNA is filed under the name uncultured bacterium. RNAcentral describes it as "partial 16S ribosomal RNA". It matches the Rfam family "Bacterial small subunit ribosomal RNA", at positions 29 to 507 of the family's 1533-position model. The record is from RNAcentral.